GCGGUAAUACGGAGGGUGCAAGCGUUAAUCGGAGUUACUGGGCGUAAAGCGCACGCAGGCGGUCUGUCAAGUCGGAUGUGAAAUCCCCGGGCUCAACCUGGGAACUGCAUUCGAAACUGGCAGGCUUGAGUCUUGUAGAGGGGGGUAGAAUUCCAGGUGUAGCGGUGAAAUGCGUAGAGAUCUGGAGGAAUACCGGUGGCGAAGGCGGCCCCCUGGACAAAGACUGACGCUCAGGUGCGAAAGCGUGGGGAGCAAACAGGAUUAGAUACCCUGGUAGUCCACGCCGUAAACGAUGUCUACUUGGAGGUUGUGCCCUUGAGGCGUGGCUUCCGGAGCUAACGCGUUAAGUAGACCGCCUGGGGAGUACGGCCGCAAGGUUAAAACUCAAAUGAAUUGACGGGGGCCCGCACAAGCGGUGGAGCAUGUGGUUUAAUUCGAUGCAACGCGAAGAACCUUACCUGGUCUUGACAUCCACAGAACUUUCCAGAGAUGGAUUGGUGCCUUCGGGAACUGUGAGACAGGUGCUGCAUGGCUGUCGUCAGCUCGUGUUGUGAAAUGUUGGGUUAAGUCCCGCAACGAGCGCAAC
This 586-nucleotide ribosomal RNA is filed under the name Salmonella enterica. RNAcentral's name for it is "bacterial SSU rRNA". It matches the Rfam family "Bacterial small subunit ribosomal RNA", at positions 517 to 1102 of the family's 1533-position model. The record is from RNAcentral. Lineage: Bacteria; Pseudomonadati; Pseudomonadota; Gammaproteobacteria; Enterobacterales; Enterobacteriaceae.